GUUUGCUUCGGCAGCACAUAUAUAUACUAAAAUUGGAACGAGACAGAGAAGAUUAGCAUGGCCCCUGCGGAAGAUGACAUGCAAAUUCAUGAAGCGUUCCAUAUUUUU
This is a small nuclear RNA of Cebus imitator (Panamanian white-faced capuchin), 108 nucleotides long. The record is from Ensembl. NCBI's taxonomy places the organism in Eukaryota, Metazoa, Chordata, Mammalia, Primates, Cebidae.